Molecule: unclassified non-coding RNA, 324 nt
Filed under: soil metagenome
Description: partial contains 5.8S ribosomal RNA, internal transcribed spacer 2, and large subunit ribosomal RNA
Rfam family: 5.8S ribosomal RNA (bases 1-120)
Source: RNAcentral
GAUGAAGAACGUAGCGAAAUGCGAUAAGUAGUGUGAAUUGCAGAAUUCAGUGAAUCAUCGAAUCUUUGAACGCACAUUGCGCCCCUUGGUAUUCCAUGGGGCAUGCCUGUUCGAGCGUCAUUUGUACCUUCAAGCUUUGCUUGGUGUUGGGUGUUUGUCCCUCGGGACUCGCCUUAAAGUCAUUGGCAGCCAGUGUUUUGGUUUUGAAGCGCAGCACAAGUCGCGAUUCAAGGCUAUCCGCCCGCUUCCACAAGCCUUUUUCACUUUUGACCUCGGAUCAGGUAGGGAUACUCGCUGAACUUAAGCAUAUCAAUAAGCGGAGGA